AACACUCUCAUAUGCCCCACAAAACAUGUUAAACAAGCACACUUAGUCAGAGCCAGAGAUCUAGACACUGAGUGUGUGUGUGUGUGUGUGUGUAUCAGUGCUGUGCUGAACAUGGUGUUUUUGAUAGAACUGGUUUUGGCUGGUAAUGCCCAGUCCCGUCUGAAGUUCAGGGUGAGGUUCCCUUUCCAAACUGUGUCUGUGUGUGUGUGUGUGUGUGUGAGAGAGAGAGAGAGAGAGUUUGUCCAUGCAUUCCACUAGCUUGGGAAAAAAAUUCCACAGGAAAUUUGCAAAAUGCCAGUCAUUCAUCUCAGCGUUGGGUUAUAAAGGGCUGCAUGUUUAGCUUAUUGACCACAACAUGGGAAAAGUCACAUAUUUUGUAUGAUUUUACAUUUUCAUUCAGCUAACAAAAAUACAUUUUAAGAAAGUUUUACUAAUGUUCCCACUAGUUAUGAAAAUGUUUUUUCUGAAUGUUCUCUAAACAUUCAAAACUUUAUAAAUGUUUUAAAAACUUUUUUUUUCUUGGUAAUGCAAACGUUAAAGCUGCAGUCCGUAACUUUUUUUGGAUAAAAAUGAUCCAAAAUCAAUUUCUGAGCAAGUACAUAUCCAGCCAGUGUUCAAAACUAUCUCCUUACCUUAGCUCGAUUCACAACAGUAAGCUUGUAAUAAUGUUUUAUAAUGAAAAUCGGUUCUGGUGCACAAGGGGGAUGCCACUGUCGCGAAAGUGAAAGUGCCCUUUGCGGUCUACCGCGGGAGAAACCCACAACACCCCCAUACACCCUCAAGACUUCGGACUGUGGAGUGGCUACAGGAACUGAAAUCUACAGUUGGUCAGAAGAAAAGUGGCAGAUUCAUUAAUUAUUCCUUCAGAAGACAUUUUCUGGUGAAAAUUCAUAUUUUGGUCACACUUCCAAGACGUAGAAUCUGUGAUUCUGAAGUACAGUAUGCACCGGUGCGGUGACCGACAGCAAACAGAUUCAUCCGCGCUGAGGAGCCGUGCCGAUGCACAACACACGUAAAGAUGAUAAUUCCACAAAUAACUGCAAUUGCAGGUUUCAAACAGAGAUGGAGACAAAGAGGCAAAACUUACGGACUGCAGCUUUAAGGGAACAUUCCAUCAUUCUGCAAACAUUAUGGGAACGUUACUUUUGAAUGCUAGUAGUAACAUUUUAAAAAACGUCAGAGGAACUAAAACAUUUCGGGGGAAAAACUUUAUUAAAGACCAGAUAACUGAACGAACAUUCUAUUAUCGUUACUGGAGGAACGUUUGUUCAUAACUUUGAGAGAACCUUGCCGGAACGUUCUGAGAACAUUUCCUGUUAGCUGCGUAUACAUUGAGCAGAUGCUUUUAUUCGAAGUGACUCUUGUUGUGUUCAAGGUACACAUUUACUCUUGAUCAGUUGUGAUUUCUCUCUCAGCUCACAGUUACACACGCAUGAUGGAGCUUUAGUUAAUGCUGUCAAUCACAACCUGAUGAAUAUAUGCAUUAUAACUCACUUCCGUGACAAAUAUUCUGCCAUCUUUAAGUAAAAUAAAAUAUUUUAUUAAUAAAGUA
Long non-coding RNA from Ctenopharyngodon idella (grass carp), 1552 nucleotides. RefSeq lists it as uncharacterized. The record is from RefSeq and is a predicted model, not a curated record. NCBI's taxonomy places the organism in Eukaryota, Metazoa, Chordata, Actinopteri, Cypriniformes, Xenocyprididae. The transcript is spliced from 2 exons.